CCUACGGGAGGCAGCAGUGGGGAAUAUUGGACAAUGGGCGGAAGCCUGAUCCAGCAACGCCGCGUGAGGGAUGACGGCCUUCGGGUUGUAAACCUCUUUCACCUGUGACGCGGUAGCAGGAGAAGAAGCACCGGCCAACUACGUGCCAGCAGCCGCGGUAAUACGUAGGGUGCGAGCGUUGUCCGGAAUUAUUGGGCGUAAAGGGCUCGUAGGCGGUUUGUCGCGUCGGGAGUGAAAACACCGGGCUUAACUCGGUGCUUGCUUUCGAUACGGGCAGACUAGAGGUAUGCAGGGGAGAACGGAAUUCCUGGUGUAGCGGUGAAAUGCGCAGAUAUCAGGAGGAACACCGGUGGCGAAGGCGGUUCUCUGGGCAUUCCUGACGCUGAGGAGCGAAAGUGUGGGGAGCGAACAGGAUUAGAUACCCUUGUAGUC
RNAcentral lists this ribosomal RNA (432 nucleotides) under uncultured bacterium. Its description in RNAcentral is "partial 16S ribosomal RNA". It matches the Rfam family "Bacterial small subunit ribosomal RNA", at positions 338 to 795 of the family's 1533-position model. The record is from RNAcentral.